ACUCAGCAUGGGCAUGAGGGCCCCUGCUCAGCUCCUUGGGCUCCUGCUGCUCUGGUUACCAGGUGCCAGAUGUGACAUCCAGAUGACCCAGUCUCCAUCCUCCCUGUCUGCAUCUCUGGGAGACAAAGUCACCAUCACUUGUCGAGCCAAUCAGGGCAUUAGCAAUUAUUUAAACUGGUACCAACAGAAACCAGGGAAAGCUCCUAAGCUCCUGAUCUACAGAGCAUCUAACUUGGACAAUGGGGUCCCAUCGAGGUUCAGUGGCAGUGGGUCUGGGACAGAUUAUUCUCUCACCAUCAACAGUCUGAAGCCUGAAGACUUUGCAACGUAUUACUGUCAGCAACGUGUUAGUACCCCUGCCACAGUGAUACAAGCCAUAACAUAA
Molecule: non-coding RNA, 385 nt
Organism: Peromyscus maniculatus bairdii (prairie deer mouse)
Lineage: Eukaryota; Metazoa; Chordata; Mammalia; Rodentia; Cricetidae
Source: the annotation of a RefSeq genome assembly